RNAcentral lists this ribosomal RNA (525 nucleotides) under uncultured bacterium. RNAcentral's name for it is "bacterial SSU rRNA". It matches the Rfam family "Bacterial small subunit ribosomal RNA", at positions 410 to 929 of the family's 1533-position model. The record is from RNAcentral.
GACGGCCUUCGGGUUGUAAACUCCUUUCGUUAGGGACGAAGCCACACCUUUUUUUGGGUGUGGUGACGGUACCUUUGUUAAAAAGCACCGGCUAACUACGUGCCAGCAGCCGCGGUAAUACGUAGGGUGCGAGCGUUGUCCGGAAUUACUGGGCGUAAAGAGCUCGUAGGUGGUUUGUUGCGUCGUCUGUGAAAUUCCGGGGCUUAACUUCGGGGUGGCAGGCGAUACGGGCAUAACUAGAGUGCUGUAGGGGAGACUGGAAUUCCUGGUGUAGCGGUGGAAUGCGCAGAUAUCAGGAGGAACACCGAUGGCGAAGGCAGGUCUCUGGGCAGUAACUGACGCUGAGGAGCGAAAGCAUGGGGAGCGAACAGGAUUAGAUACCCUGGUAGUCCAUGCUGUAAACGGUGGGCGUUAGGUGUGGGGACCGGUUUGGUUUCUGUGCCGUAGCUAACGCAUUAAGCGCCCCGCCUGGGGAGUACGGCCGCAAGGCUAAAACUCAAAGGAAUUGACGGGGGCCCGCACAAG